CCAGCUCUCCGAGUGGUGUGGAUGUUUAUUGGGCCUAAAGCAUCCGUAGCUGGCUAAGUUAGUCCCUUGUUAAAUCCACCGAAUUAAUCGUUGGAUCGCGGGGGAUACUGCUUGGCUAGGGGACGAGAGAAGCAGACGGUAUUUUCGGGGUAGGGGUGAAAUCCUAUAAUCCCGGGAAGACCACCAGUGGCGAAGG
This 196-nucleotide ribosomal RNA is filed under the name uncultured crenarchaeote. RNAcentral describes it as "partial 16S ribosomal RNA". It matches the Rfam family "Archaeal small subunit ribosomal RNA", at positions 476 to 672 of the family's 1478-position model. Lineage: Archaea; Thermoproteati; Thermoproteota. The record is from RNAcentral.